CUGCUUGCUUCAGCAGCACAUAUACUAGAAUUAGAACAACAUGGAGAAGGUGAUCAUGGCCCCUGUGCAAGGAUGAGACACAAAUCUGGAAAUAAAAUUAUGUUUUC
Vulpes vulpes (red fox) is the source of this 107-nucleotide small nuclear RNA. The record is from Ensembl. Lineage: Eukaryota; Metazoa; Chordata; Mammalia; Carnivora; Canidae.